CAGUCGCCGCGGGAAUACAAAGGGUGCGAGCGUUAAUCGGAUUUACUGGGCGUAAAGCGUGCGUAGGCGGCUUCUUAAGUCGGAUGUGAAAUCCCUGAGCUUAACUUAGGAAUUGCAUUCGAUACUGGGAAGCUAGAGUAUGGGAGAGGAUGGUAGAAUUCCAGGUGUAGCGGUGAAAUGCGUAGAGAUCUGGAGGAAUACCGAUGGCGAAGGCAGCCAUCUGGCCUAAUACUGACGCUGAGGUACGAAAGCAUGGGGAGCAAACAGGAUUAGAUACCCCAGUAGUCCCUGUCUCUUAUAC
RNAcentral lists this ribosomal RNA (301 nucleotides) under uncultured bacterium. RNAcentral describes it as "partial 16S ribosomal RNA". It matches the Rfam family "Bacterial small subunit ribosomal RNA", at positions 509 to 807 of the family's 1533-position model. The record is from RNAcentral.